GAUGAAGAACGUAGCGAAAUGCGAUACGUAGUGUGAAUUGCAGAAUUCAGUGAAUCAUCGAAUCUUUGAACGCACAUUGCACCUCUCGGUAUUCCGGGAGGUAUGCCUGUUCGAGCGUCAUUUGUACCCUCAAGCUCUGCUUGGUGUUGGGUGUUUGUCCCGCCUCUGUGUGUGAACUCGCCUCAAAACAAUUGGCAGCCGGCGUACUUGUUUCGGAGCGCAGCACAUUUUGCGAUCCAGAUCAACGUACAGCGGCAUCGAAGAAGCCUUAUUUAACGCUCUUGACCUCGGAUCAGGUAGGGAUACCCGCUGAACUUAAGCAUAUCAAUAAGCGGAGGA
RNAcentral lists this unclassified non-coding RNA (339 nucleotides) under soil metagenome. RNAcentral describes it as "partial contains 5.8S ribosomal RNA, internal transcribed spacer 2, and large subunit ribosomal RNA". The stretch from base 1 to 120 matches the Rfam family "5.8S ribosomal RNA", at positions 35 to 154 of the family's 154-position model. The record is from RNAcentral.